Molecule: long non-coding RNA, 942 nt
Filed under: Cricetulus griseus (Chinese hamster)
Lineage: Eukaryota; Metazoa; Chordata; Mammalia; Rodentia; Cricetidae
Description: lncRNA (ENSCGRG00015036448.1)
Source: RNAcentral
GAAAAAGAUGACCACUAUGGCCCACAAUGGAGAAUUGCUUGUGAAAAUUGAGAAGCCAAAGGGGCACGGUACAAAAAUUAGACCCGUGCCCGGAUACUCAGCAAACAUAUGACUUGCCCUGGAAGCACGGGAAGGAAAGAUGGGCAAAUAAAAACAGUUGCAAGGACUUCGGGUGUUGGAUACCUGCCAGGCUUAUUCCACACUGGGGAUUACAUCAGUGUAUUCGAGUCAAGCCUCUAAUACCUGAGCUCCAUCCUCAGCAUAUCCACAGAAUUGUAACAGUGGUAAAUCGUCAUUCUCUCAGUGUUGGAUAUAGAACUCACGGCUGCCACAUGCUAGGCAAGCACUCUACCAUUGAGCCGCAAGACCACACCCAGCCUAGCAACGUUCAUCUCCCAUGCCUAGCUGCUCCUCUGUCCACCAUCAGCUCCACUCUGGGACCAGACUACCAUGGCAGUCUUUCUGUGUGCACAGGGCAGGUCCCUGUGCCAGAGGGACACACAGACAAUGAUCUACCCAUUACUUCUUACAACUGGGGCUAGGCUCAUCUCAUGCUCCUUCUUGGGUUUCUAGGAUCUCACCGACUCCAAGCAGUAGUAGCCAACACUGAGCAGUUAUACAACUCAGUCCUUUCACUCUGCGGCUUUCUUUGCUGAAUCAAGCAAAAGAGAAUGCAUUUCUGUUCCAGGAAAUGGAUGGCGCCACAGAAAAGGGCCAGAGUAAAAUGGAUCUUUAUCAUUAGAGCUGCUCAAAGAUGGGGUGCUUGAGUGUUGUAUCUGCAAGUACACUAUCUGCAGAUUCAAUAAAUUCCCCAUGGAGAAUUUCCAGGGGAAAACCGUUUCUGUGCUGAACACCUACAUAUAUUCUUCCUUGUCAUUAUGCCCUAAACAAUGCAGUCUACUAUUUAGACAUAUUUACUUUUAAUUAGAAAUUACCUUUGAG